GACGAACGCUGGCGGCGUGCUUAACACAUGCAAGUCGAGCGGUAAGGCCCUUUCGGGGGUACACGAGCGGCGAACGGGUGAGUAACACGUGGGUGACCUGCCUCUAGCUCUGGGAUAAGCCUGGGAAGCUGGGUCUAAUACCGGAUAUGACCUCGCGGUGCAUGUUGCGGGGUGGAAAGCCUUGUGCGGCUAGGGAUGGGCCCGCGGCCUAUCAGCUUGUUGGUGGGGUGANGGCCUACCAAGGCGACGACGGGUAGCCGGCCUGAGAGGGCGACCGGCCACACUGGGACUGAGACACGGCCCAGACUCCUACGGGAGGCAGCAGUGGGGAAUCUUGCGCAAUGGGCGAAAGCCUGACGCAGCGACGCCGCGUGAGGGAUGACGGCCUCGGUUGUAACGUACUU
This 404-nucleotide ribosomal RNA is filed under the name uncultured bacterium. Its description in RNAcentral is "bacterial SSU rRNA". It matches the Rfam family "Bacterial small subunit ribosomal RNA", at positions 28 to 435 of the family's 1533-position model. The record is from RNAcentral.